GACGAACGCUGGCGGCGUGCUUAACACAUGCAAGUCGAACGGAAAGGCCCUGCUUUUGUGGGGUGCUCGAGCGGCGAACGGGUGAGUAACACGUGAGUAACCUGCCCUUGACUUUGGGAUAACUUCAGGAAACUGGGGCUAAUACCGGAUAGGAGCUCCUGCGGCAUGGGGGGGGUUGGAAAGUUUCGGCGGUUGGGGAUGGACUCGCGGCUUGUCAGCUUGUUGGUGGGGUAGUGGCUUACCAAGGCUUUGACGGGUAGCCGGCCUGAGAGGGUGACCGGCCACAUUGGGACUGAGAUACGGCCCAGACUCCUACGGGAGGCAGCAGUGGGGAAUAUUGCACAAUGGGCGGAAGCCUGAUGCAGCAACGCCGCGUGCGGGAUGACGGCCUUCGGGUUGUAAACCGCUUUCGCCUGUGACGAAGCGUGAGUGACGGUAAUGGGUAAAGAAGCACCGGCUAACUACGUG
Molecule: ribosomal RNA, 468 nt
Filed under: uncultured bacterium
Lineage: Bacteria
Description: partial 16S ribosomal RNA
Rfam family: Bacterial small subunit ribosomal RNA
Source: RNAcentral